This 834-nucleotide long non-coding RNA is filed under the name Ursus maritimus (polar bear). Its description in RNAcentral is "lncRNA (ENSUMAG00000005476.1)". The record is from RNAcentral. Lineage: Eukaryota; Metazoa; Chordata; Mammalia; Carnivora; Ursidae.
AUGCCGGGCAUAACCCCCACUUGGAAGCAGGGUUCUAAGGUGGGACUGGGGGAACGAAGGCAGAGUCCUGGAGCGGGAACCCGAGGCCUCUGUAAAUACCAGCUGCCAGGUCUGGAGGGGGUGAGGAGUGAGGGCCCCUGGAGAUGCAAAUGGCCCCUGACAUGCCUCCUUCUUGCGGCAGGCUACGGCAACCUAAAAAAUGGCCGCCCGCCUCUUCUGCAUCUUCUUCGCUCUUGUGGGGAUCCCGCUCAACCUCGUGGUGCUCAACCGGCUGGGGCAUCUUAUGCAGCGGGGGAUGCACCGCUGUGCCCGCAGGCUGGGGGGUGCCCGGCAGGACCCGACCAAAGCUCGGUGGCUUGCGGGCGCUGGCGCCCUCCUCUCGGGCCUCCUGCUUUUCCUGCUGCUGCCCCCGCUGCUCUUCUGCCACAUGGAGGGCUGGAGCUACGUGGAGAGCUUCUACUUCGCCUUCAUCACCCUCAGCACCGUGGGCUUCGGCGACUACGUGAUUGGGAUGGACCCCUCCCGGAGGUACCCGCUGUGGUACAAGAAUACGGUGUCCCUGUGGAUCCUCUUUGGGAUGGCGUGGCUGGCCUUAAUCAUCAAAUUCACCCUCUCCCUGCUAGAGACCCCACGGGGGGCGUGUUCCCGCUACCACCACAGCUGCAAAGAGAACUUCAAGCCCCGAAGCUGCAGGCAGAGUCCGGAUGGGGAGGCGGAACCCCGUUUGCCACAGCCCGGCUGCCGUCCAGAGGAGCCUAUGGGGAUCAGGCAGCAUCCAGAACCCUCUACCCAGGCCUCAUGCUGUGGAAAGGACAACUAGCUAUACUUCAGUAG